GCAACUCGCCUACACGAAGCUGGAAUCGCUAGUAAUCGCGGAUCAGCACGCCGCGGCGAAUACGUUCCCGGGCCUUGUACACACCGCCCGUCACACCAUGAGAGUCUGUAACACCCAAAGCCGGUGGGAUAACCUUUAUAGGAGUCAGCCGUCUAAGGUAGGACAGAUGAUUAGGGUGAAGUCGUAACAAGGUAAC
Molecule: ribosomal RNA, 196 nt
Filed under: uncultured bacterium
Lineage: Bacteria
Description: partial 16S ribosomal RNA
Rfam family: Bacterial small subunit ribosomal RNA
Source: RNAcentral